GUCUACGGCCAUACCACCCUGAACGCGCCCGAUCUCGUCUGAUCUCGGAAGCUAAGCAGGGUCGGGCCUGGUUAGUACUUGGAUGGGAGAUACUUGUGUAAGAUACUUCCGUAGUUU
RNAcentral lists this ribosomal RNA (117 nucleotides) under Neogale vison (American mink). Lineage: Eukaryota; Metazoa; Chordata; Mammalia; Carnivora; Mustelidae. The record is from RNAcentral.